GACAGAGACUGACUGAAACAAAGAGAGAGAGAGAGAGAGAGAGAACGACUGACAGACACUACAAAGACCGUUGUUGGGCCCAGUUGUACCUCCUUGCUGUGCCGUUCUCUCUCCACCAGCUGCAGAGAGGAGACAGUGGCUUGCAGUCUGACCUCUGCCUGGACCCCGCACCUGCACCUCCUAUAGAAGACAACACACAGGCUCUCACAGCGAGUGUAUCCUGCAGCUCCCCAGUCAUCCUCUGGAGUUCUUGUGUUGCUCUCUCCCGACACACAGGUGCUGGCUCUGCUGCAGAGUCCUGGAGCAAUAGGUCAAAGGUUAUGGUCUCUGAUGACCACGUCCAACUGGCCCAGCUGAGGAAGAGGAGGGAGAGAGAGAAAGGCCUUAUUUCUUAUAAUUCCAUCCAUUAAGACUUUGGCCAUUCAAAUUAAAUACACUAUAACGCGCCACGCAA
This is a non-coding RNA of Salmo salar (Atlantic salmon), 454 nucleotides long. The record is from RefSeq and is a predicted model, not a curated record. NCBI's taxonomy places the organism in Eukaryota, Metazoa, Chordata, Actinopteri, Salmoniformes, Salmonidae.